Molecule: ribosomal RNA, 169 nt
Filed under: Pterocaesio tile (dark-banded fusilier)
Lineage: Eukaryota; Metazoa; Chordata; Actinopteri; Lutjaniformes; Lutjanidae
Description: partial 12S ribosomal RNA
Source: RNAcentral
CACCGCGGUUAUACGAGAGACCCAAGUUGAUAGACACCGGCGUAAAGAGUGGUUAAGACUUACUUAACACUAAAGCCGAACGCCUUCAGAGCUGUUAUACGCAUCCGAAGGUAAGAAGCCCAACUACGAAAGUGGCUUUACAACAUCUGAAUCCACGAAAGCUAUGAUA